This 183-nucleotide ribosomal RNA is filed under the name uncultured bacterium. Its description in RNAcentral is "partial 16S ribosomal RNA". It matches the Rfam family "Bacterial small subunit ribosomal RNA", at positions 338 to 524 of the family's 1533-position model. The record is from RNAcentral.
CCUACGGGAGGCAGCAGUGGGGAAUAUUGGACAAUGGGCGCAAGCCUGAUCCAGCAACGCCGCGUGAGGGAUGACGGCCUUCGGGUUGUAAACCUCUUUCAGUACCGACGAAGCGCCUUUAACGGUGGUGACGGUAGGUACAGAAGAAGGACCGGCCAACUACGUGCCAGCAGCCGCGGUAAU